This is a long non-coding RNA of Hippoglossus stenolepis (Pacific halibut), 493 nucleotides long. RefSeq lists it as uncharacterized. NCBI's taxonomy places the organism in Eukaryota, Metazoa, Chordata, Actinopteri, Pleuronectiformes, Pleuronectidae. The record is from RefSeq and is a predicted model, not a curated record. The transcript is spliced from 3 exons.
ACACAAAAUACUAGAAACGAGGAACAGUGACCUUUAUAUGAAUCAGGGGAGAAAGGAUGUAGAAACAUGUUCACGUGCUCUGGUUGAGGAACUAAACCACAGGCCUGUGAUUCUGCUUUAUUUAUAUUCUCUCACACAUUUUCAUCACCUCGCGUUUUUUAUUUUGCCUUUCGCCUUCGCCCUGCCGCUCCUUUGUCCCUCGCUGUGACCCGUCGGACUCCAUGGUAACGCAGCCGCCGCCAAAGCUAAAGCUAAGUGUUGUUUUGCUAGCAGGCGGCAGAAUCAAAGCUUUUUCUACUUUUAGCAAUAAAAACCUAAGAAUGUGACUUUACGUUAAAUCUCCCGACGACCACCCACGAGCUCUGAUGAAGACACAGGAGCGACCUGAGCGAUGUGAUCCCUGUUGAAGAUUUCUCCUCAAACAGACACGAUGCCAGUGCUGAACAUCUGGGAGCUGUCCAUCCCGCUCCCAGCUGUUCUUGGACAGAUCACU